This 468-nucleotide ribosomal RNA is filed under the name uncultured bacterium. RNAcentral's name for it is "partial 16S ribosomal RNA". It matches the Rfam family "Bacterial small subunit ribosomal RNA", at positions 28 to 507 of the family's 1533-position model. The record is from RNAcentral.
GACGAACGCUGGCGGCGUGCUUAACACAUGCAAGUCGAACGGAAAGGCCCUGCUUUUGUGGGGUGCUCGAGUGGCGAACGGGUGAGUAACACGUGAGUAACCUGCCCUUGACUUUGGGAUAACUUCAGGAAACUGGGGCUAAUAUCGGAUAGGAGCUCCUGCUGCAUGGUGGGGGUUGGAAAGUUUCGGCGGUUGGGGAUGGACUCGCGGCUUAUCAGCUUGUUGGUGGGGUAGUGGCUUACCAAGGCUUUGACGGGUAGCCGGCCUGAGAGGGUGACCGGCCACAUUGGGACUGAGAUACGGCCCAGACUCCUACGGGAGGCAGCAGUGGGGAAUAUUGCACAAUGGGCGGAAGCCUGAUGCAGCGACGCCGCGUGCGGGAUGACGGCCUUCGGGUUGUAAACCGCUUUCGCCUGUGACGAAGCGUGAGUGACGGUAAUGAGUAAAGAAGCACCGGCUAACUACGUG